RNAcentral lists this long non-coding RNA (1181 nucleotides) under Homo sapiens (human). Its description in RNAcentral is "long intergenic non-protein coding RNA 1811". Lineage: Eukaryota; Metazoa; Chordata; Mammalia; Primates; Hominidae. The record is from RNAcentral.
AUUGGCAGUCAAGAGAAGUUUAACUGAAUCUCUGAGUGGCAAGAGUCAGGAGAGGUUUAACUGAAUAUAGAAGGAGAAGAAGUAUUUACAUUAGAAGUCUGAUUCACAGGUCGGGGCAAAGUGAAAAACAUCUGCACUUUUAAAAGAGAGGUCAAAAGUCCGUCUGACUCACCUGUGCUGAGUGACUUGAAUGCCAUCUAAUCUAACUUCAAGAUCAUCAGGAUACUUGCCAACAAGGUCACAGUGGACUCCAUGGAGCAACUGCCCUCAGGAGGCAACAGGUCACAGUGUUUGGACACCGCAUGAACAUGCCAAUUUCCUGUGUUGUAAUAUUUUUAUGCACUUUAAGAAGACCACCAGAAACAGCAGAGUGAGUGAAUGACUGAGGCGCAUAUUGGACAAAAAUCACUUAUCCAAGACCACGUUACUACAACCCCAGGGCACAGAAGCUAAGUCUUCCUAUUGUACUGAACUCAGUUGACUGGAAUUUGUUCAGGAAAGCAUGAAGUCAAAUGGAAGCUAGUCCGUGACUGGAUUCAUCUUUUGGUAAAAAACGAAGAGGAGACCCCAUAUCCUGGAGGUUCUUGCUUAACCCUGUCCCUAAUAAGACCUAACUUUAUGAGUCUUCUCCUUAGAGGCAGUCCUAGGGUAAGAGUGAUUAUUCCUGUGAGCCUUGUAGGUACUUUCGAAUCAAGGAAAUUAGUAGUUGAUUGCUAAUUAAUUCAGUAUUUAAUGAAUUUAAGUACCUAGGCAAUGAGGCCACAAUAGCAAAUAAGACACAGACCUGUUUUCAAAAAGUAGCCUGUAAAUAAGAUAUUUUUUUCUGCCAUGGUGGCAAAGGCAUGACUAUGGUGAUGAACAUUCAUAGGCUCACCUUCUAGCUCUGUUGUAUGUUAACUGUGUGAACUUGGGUCAAGUUAUGAAAACUCUAAGAACUCUCAAAACUCCUGAUCUGUUUUAACAUGAAAGUAAAGAUAUCUAAUUGAAUUGUUGUGAAACUUAAAUGUAAUGUGACAUCCAAAGAAUGUAGCCCAAAGUUGGAUUUCAGUAAGUGAUAAAUAGAAGUAUUUAAACAUGGGUAUGGUAUGUUCUGUAACAGAAGAAUGUCUAUGUGCUGGGGAUACCUAGAGACAGUGAAAAUUCUGUCUGGCCUGCGAAUUAUAAUAAAAUGACUCUUUAAA